RNAcentral lists this ribosomal RNA (253 nucleotides) under uncultured bacterium. Its description in RNAcentral is "partial 16S ribosomal RNA". It matches the Rfam family "Bacterial small subunit ribosomal RNA", at positions 524 to 776 of the family's 1533-position model. The record is from RNAcentral.
UACGAAGGGGGCUAGCGUUGUUCGGAAUUACUGGGCGUAAAGCGCACGUAGGCGGAUAUUUAAGUCAGGGGUGAAAUCCUGGAGCUCAACUCCAGAACUGCCUUUGAUACUGAAGAUCUUGAGUUCGGGAGAGGUGAGUGGAACUGCGAGUGUAGAGGUGAAAUUCGUAGAUAUUCGCAAGAACACCAGUGGCGAAGGCGGCUCACUGGCCCGAUACUGACGCUGAGGCACGAAAGCGUGGGGAUCAAACAGG